UUGGAUUGUGUCGACUUUCGUGAGUCCGACGUAGCUAGCAGCAGCCAGCAGGACAAGGUUUAGGUUUAGGUUUAGGUUUGCCUAAUCCCUUUUGAGUCAGGGCAGGUGACGUGAGGGCACAACACAGGGGACAACCCCAACACCCCAACCCCCGCGGGUGGCCUAGAGAGACGAGAGACUAGACCGGCGACUCGAGCUUACAACCAUAUUUCAACGGUGUAAGUGGGUGCAAGCAAGUUGGUGCACUGUAGAAAGAGAAGCAUUUGAAUGGCUGUCAUCAGAUGGACCUCGAGCGAAGAAAAGCAGGGAAGGCAAGCAGCGAGUUUGGGGGAGAUUUCCCCUGGCUACCUUACAGGUAUCACUACCACAGUGCUGGUGAAACGUAGCUGCUUUCACAGAUGACGGCAUGUUUGACUUGUGGAUAUUCCAUAGCAUGCGACAAAUGCAACAGUUCCCUGUGCUUCGCUAUGAGCUCCCGCGUGGAGGCCAAUCGCAACAGUUUUCAUGUGCUGUUGCGUGCCGUUUGGAGCGCGCUAUCUUGGAAAAUAUGGAUAAUGCUUCUGGGAGAGCCGAAGGAAGGCUGUCUGCCGAGGACCUCCCGACCUCAACACUCAUUCGAAAGGUGCUCUGCUGGACACAUAUUUCCUUGUACCCAGAGGCGGAGAGUUUUCAUUUUCCCAGGGGGGGCAAGGGCGCACCGCGAAAUAAGUACUUUGGCGGGGGGGAUAUGUUUAUUAAGAAAAAAAAGAAAGGUAAGCCAGAUGGAUGUCGGCGUGUUAUUCCAAAAAAAAAGUGAAAGGGGAAGACAAAAAAGGAAAAGAAAAAAGAAAGCAAAAGGAAACAAAAAGAAGGAAAGAAAAGAAAAAUGAAGAACACAAAACUAAUCACACACUCUGGCGGGAUCUUAUGAUGUAUGCAGAACUGGUAUAGAAAUAAGAGGAAGGAAGAACAGAAAAAAAGAAAUACAGAGAGAACGUAAACAGUGAACAUGUGCACAACUGAAGGCAUUACGCCUUUGAAAACUGAGUGCAAAGGGAACAAAAUGCAUUGAAUCGUCGGUGUUUGACCCGAAAUGCGCGCAAUAUUAUGAAUAUGGUCAAUGAAAUGGACCAGCAGGAGUUGAACCAGCUCCCAACGGAUAUGCGUUCCGAAGAUUCUACCGUUGCACCUCACUGGCACCUGCAGGUACCUUUUCGACUGCUUUCGUUUCAUUGAUCUGAUUGCUUUGGGCGAAAUUCAGGCAAUGUGUUGUGUCAUCCUCUGUGUUUCUUCGCCUCACCUUCAACUGUGAUAAUUAGUAUGGUGGGCGGAUACAUAUUUUACAAAUUGCAAGAUGCUUUUUUGGGGUUGGUGCCUCUUCGCUCUUUUGACCCGAGCGCUCCGAGCCCCAAAGGUUGGUGUCAGUCUCUUAGCGGGACUUCCCGGGGGAGGCGGCGCCCCCCCUAGUUCAUGUUCCGGGGGGGCAAGAGCCCCUGCGCCUCCCCGCAGUCGGCGCCUAUGCUUGUACCCAUAUCCCCUUGUACCCAUAUCCAUAAGUAAGUCCCCAUAAGUAACCCAUAUCCAUAAGUCCACCAUAUAAAGCAGGGGCACAGGCUCAUGACGACGACCUGGUAGGCAGACAACCAUAGAAGACAAAGCUACAUUACUCUCACAUGCCACUUCAUCUAUGGUAAUUCAUUUUCUUGUUCUUCUGUAGAUAGCGGGAAAUGAGAUUCCAUAUUCCACAUAAAAUCACACUUCCUCUGGUUCAUUUACAAGGAACUUUGAGCAGCAAUAUAUCACUCUCACCACAGGAAACAAGACAUGAAACAAGGAACACAGACACAGUGGCGACACCAUCACUGAUGAACUUUUCAAGUGCAUCGAUGACUUUGAAACAAGAGGAAAGGUGGUGCAUUCUGUCACUGGCACUGGAUCAAAUGUAAGGUGGGCCGCCUGGACAGCACAGGCAUAGGGCGACGCGCUUUUUGGAAGAUCCAAC
Ornithodoros turicata is the source of this 1981-nucleotide long non-coding RNA. RefSeq lists it as uncharacterized. The transcript is spliced from 3 exons. The record is from RefSeq and is a predicted model, not a curated record. NCBI's taxonomy places the organism in Eukaryota, Metazoa, Arthropoda, Arachnida, Ixodida, Argasidae.